UACGUAGGGGGCAAGCGUUGUCCGGAUUUAUUGGGCGUAAAGAGCGUGUAGGCGGCCAUACAGGUCAGCUGUGAAAACUCGAGGCUCAACCUCGAGACGCCGGUGGAAACCAUCAGGCUAGAGUCCGGAAGAGGAGAGUGGAAUUCCUGGUGUAGCGGUGAAAUGCGCAGAUAUCAGGAAGAACACCCGUGGCUAAGGCGGCUCUCUAGUACGGUACUGACGCUGAGACGCGAAAGCGUGGGGAGCGAACAGG
RNAcentral lists this ribosomal RNA (253 nucleotides) under uncultured bacterium. RNAcentral's name for it is "partial 16S ribosomal RNA". It matches the Rfam family "Bacterial small subunit ribosomal RNA", at positions 524 to 776 of the family's 1533-position model. The record is from RNAcentral.